GACGAACGCUGGCGGCGUGCUUAACACAUGCAAGUCGAACGGUGAAGCGAGUGCUUGCACUCGUGGAUCAGUGGCGAACGGGUGAGUAACACGUGAGUAACCUGCCCAUCACUCUGGGAUAAGCACUGGAAACGGUGUCUAAUACUGGAUACGACCAACCCUUGCAUGGGGUGUUGGUGGAAAGAUUUAUCGGUGAUGGAUGGACUCGCGGCCUAUCAGCUUGUUGGCGGGGUAAUGGCCCACCAAGGCGACGACGGGUAGCCGGCCUGAGAGGGUGACCGGCCACACUGGGACUGAGACACGGCCCAGACUCCUACGGGAGGAAGCAGUGGGGAAUAUUGCACAAUGGGCGAAAGCCUGAUGCAGCGACGCCGCGUGAGGGAUGACGGCCUUCGGGUUGUAAACCUCUUUCAGCAGGGAAGAAGCGAAAGUGACGGUACCUGCAGAAGAAGCACCGGCUAACUACGUG
RNAcentral lists this ribosomal RNA (469 nucleotides) under uncultured bacterium. RNAcentral's name for it is "partial 16S ribosomal RNA". It matches the Rfam family "Bacterial small subunit ribosomal RNA", at positions 28 to 507 of the family's 1533-position model. The record is from RNAcentral.